GAUGAACGCUGGCGGCGUGCUUAACACAUGCAAGUCGAACGGAAAGGCCCCUGCUUGCAGGGGUACUCGAGUGGCGAACGGGUGAGUAACACGUGGGUGAUCUGCCCUGCACUUCGGGAUAAGCCUGGGAAACUGGGUCUAAUACCGGAUAGGACCACAUUUUGGAUGGUGUGUUGGAAAGUUUUUCGGUGUGGGAUGAGCUCGCGGCCUAUCAGCUUGUUGGUGGGGUAAUGGCCUACCAAGGCGUCGACGGGUAGCCGGCCUGAGAGGGUGUACGGCCACAUUGGGACUGAGAUACGGCCCAGACUCCUACGGGAGGCAGCAGUGGGGAAUAUUGCACAAUGGGCGCAAGCCUGAUGCAGCGACGCCGCGUGGGGGAUGACGGCCUUCGGGUUGUAAACUCCUUUCGCUAGGGACGAAGCGCAAGUGACGGUACCUGGAGAAGAAGCACCGGCUAACUACGUG
Molecule: ribosomal RNA, 465 nt
Filed under: uncultured bacterium
Lineage: Bacteria
Description: partial 16S ribosomal RNA
Rfam family: Bacterial small subunit ribosomal RNA
Source: RNAcentral